GAUGAACGCUGGCGGCGUGCCUAAUACAUGCAAGUCGAACGGACGGACGCGAAGCUUGCUUCUCUGAUGUUAGCGGCGGGCGGGUGAGUAACACGUGGAUCACCUACCUAUAAGACUGAGAUAACUUCGAGAAACCGGCGCUAAUACCGGAGGAUCUUUUGCACCGCAUGGUUCAAAAGUGAAAGACGGUCUUGCUGUAACUUAUCGCUGGAUCCGCGCUGCAUUAGCUAGUUGGUAAGGUCACGGCUUACCAAGGGGAGUAUGCAUAGCCGACCGGAGAGGGGGAUAGGCCACAUGGGAACGUAGACGCGGUCCAGGCGCCUACGGGAGGCAGCAGUAGGGAAUCGUCCGCAAUAGGCGAAAGCCUGACGGAGUGACGCGGCGUGUGUGGUGAAGGUCCUCGGAGCGUAAAACUCUGCUAUGAGGGAAGAACAGAUGUGUAAGUAACUGUGCAGAGCGUGACGGUACCUAAUCAGAAAGCCACGGCUAACUACGUG
RNAcentral lists this ribosomal RNA (497 nucleotides) under uncultured bacterium. RNAcentral describes it as "partial 16S ribosomal RNA". It matches the Rfam family "Bacterial small subunit ribosomal RNA", at positions 28 to 507 of the family's 1533-position model. The record is from RNAcentral.